GUGGGUAUAGCUUAGUGGUAGAAUGAAUGCAUUUUAACAUGCAUGAAGUCCUGGGUUCAAUCCCCAGUACCUCCG
Molecule: transfer RNA, 75 nt
Filed under: Camelus bactrianus (Bactrian camel)
Lineage: Eukaryota; Metazoa; Chordata; Mammalia; Artiodactyla; Camelidae
Also listed under: 2 other names
Rfam family: tRNA
About the family: Transfer RNA (tRNA) molecules are approximately 80 nucleotides in length. Their secondary structure includes four short double-helical elements and three loops (D, anti-codon, and T loops).
Source: Rfam by way of RNAcentral